This 168-nucleotide small nuclear RNA is filed under the name Amborella trichopoda. RNAcentral's name for it is "snRNA U4". The stretch from base 1 to 135 matches the Rfam family "U4 spliceosomal RNA". Rfam says of the family: U4 small nuclear RNA (U4 snRNA) is a component of the major U2-dependent spliceosome. Lineage: Eukaryota; Viridiplantae; Streptophyta; Magnoliopsida; Amborellales; Amborellaceae. The record is from RNAcentral.
AUCUUUGCGCUUGGGGCAAUGACGCAGCUAGUGAGGUAAAACCGAGGCGCGUCAAUUGCUGGUUGAAAACUAUUUCCAAACCCCCUCAUUGGCCCGGGUUCAGCCUUGGCCUUUGAGAAUUUCUGGAAGGGAUCCCUCAAAAAGGGUAACCCCUACUAUUCUAAUUCC